UAUGGCCAUAUCACAUUAAAACAUUGGUUCUCAUACAAUCACUGAAGUUAAGCAACCUUGAGCCUUGUCAGUACCUAGAUCAGUGACCGCUUUUGAAUACUAGGUGUUGUAA
Non-coding RNA from Acanthosepion pharaonis, 112 nucleotides. NCBI's taxonomy places the organism in Eukaryota, Metazoa, Mollusca, Cephalopoda, Sepiida, Sepiidae. The record is from the annotation of a GenBank genome assembly.